AACGAACGCUGGCGGCAGGCCUAACACAUGCAAGUCGAGCGCCCCGCAAGGGGAGCGGCGGACGGGUGAGUAACGCGUGGGAACGUACCUUUUGCUUCGGAAUAGCCUCGGGAAACUGGGAGUAAUACCGAAUGUGCCCUACGGGGGAAAGAUUUAUCGGCAAAAGAUCGGCCCGCGUUGGAUUAGGUAGUUGGUGGGGUAAUGGCCUACCAAGCCGACGAUCCAUAGCUGGUUUGAGAGGAUGAUCAGCCACACUGGGACUGAGACACGGCCCAGACUCCUACGGGAGGCAGCAGUGGGGAAUCUUAGACAAUGGGCGCAAGCCUGAUCUAGCCAUGCCGCGUGAGCGAUGAAGGCCUUAGGGUUGUAAAGCUCUUUCGUGGGGGAAGAUAAUGACUGUACCCCAAGAAGAAGCCCCGGCUAACUCCGUGCCAGCAGCCGCGGUAA
This 447-nucleotide ribosomal RNA is filed under the name uncultured bacterium. RNAcentral's name for it is "partial 16S ribosomal RNA". It matches the Rfam family "Bacterial small subunit ribosomal RNA", at positions 29 to 523 of the family's 1533-position model. The record is from RNAcentral.